Molecule: ribosomal RNA, 450 nt
Filed under: uncultured bacterium
Lineage: Bacteria
Description: partial 16S ribosomal RNA
Rfam family: Bacterial small subunit ribosomal RNA
Source: RNAcentral
GUGGGGAAUUUUGGACAAUGGGGGCAACCCUGAUCCAGCCAUGCCGCGUGCGGGAAGAAGGCCUUCGGGUUGUAAACCGCUUUUGUCAGGGAAGAAAUCCUUUGGGUUAAUACCUCGGAGGGAUGACGGUACCUGAAGAAUAAGCACCGGCUAACUACGUGCCAGCAGCCGCGGUAAUACGUAGGGUGCGAGCGUUAAUCGGAAUUACUGGGCGUAAAGCGUGCGCAGGCGGUUUUGUAAGAUCGAUGUGAAAUCCCCGGGCUCAACCUGGGAACUGCAUUGGGGACUGCAAGGCUGGAGUGCGGCAGAGGGGGAUGGAAUUCCGCGUGUAGCAGUGAAAUGCGUAGAUAUGCGGAGGAACACCGAUGGCGAAGGCAAUCCCCUGGGCCUGCACUGACGCUCAUGCACGAAAGCGUGGGGAGCAAACAGGAUUAGAAACCCCGGUAGUCC